Molecule: ribosomal RNA, 549 nt
Filed under: uncultured bacterium
Lineage: Bacteria
Description: partial 16S ribosomal RNA
Rfam family: Bacterial small subunit ribosomal RNA
Source: RNAcentral
UGGGGAAUUUUGGACAAUGGGCGAAAGCCUGAUCCAGCAAUGCCGCGUGUGUGAAGAAGGCCUUCGGGUUGUAAAGCACUUUUGUCCGGAAAGAAAUCCUUGGCUCUAAUACAGUCGGGGGAUGACGGUACCGGAAGAAUAAGCACCGGCUAACUACGUGCCAGCAGCCGCGGUAAUACGUAGGGUGCAAGCGUUAAUCGGAAUUACUGGGCGUAAAGCGUGCGCAGGCGGUUUGCUAAGACCGAUGUGAAAUCCCCGGGCUCAACCUGGGAACUGCAUUGGUGACUGGCAGGCUAGAGUAUGGCAGAGGGGGGUAGAAUUCCACGUGUAGCAGUGAAAUGCGUAGAGAUGUGGAGGAAUACCGAUGGCGAAGGCAGCCCCCCUGGGCCAAAUACUGACGCUCAUGCACGAAAGCGUGGGGAGCAAACAGGAUUAGAUACCCUGGUAGUCCACGCCCUAAACGAUGUCAACUAGUUGUUGGGGAUUCAUUUCCUUAGUAACGUAGCUAACGCGUGAAGUUGACCGCCUGGGGAGUACGGUCGCAAGAUU